AGCUCCAAUAGCGUAUAUUAAAGUUGUUGCAGUUAAAAAGCUCGUAGUUGGAUUUCGGAAUGGGCCAGUUGGUCCGCCUCACGGUGUGUUACUGGCUGGUCUGUUCUUCUUCACAAAGACUGCGUGUGCUCUUUACCGAGUGUGCGUAGGAUUUACGACGUUUACUUUGAAAAAAUUAGAGUGUUCAAAGCAGGCCUACCGCUUGAAUACAUGAGCAUGGAAUAAUGGAAUAGGACUUUGGUCUUAUUUUGUUGGUUUCUAAGACCGAAGUAAUGAUUAAGAGGGACAGUUGGGGGCAUUCGUAUUUCGUUGUCAGAGGUGAAAUUCUUGGAUUUACGAAAGACGAACAACUGCGAAAGCAUUUGCCAAGAAUGUUUUCA
RNAcentral lists this ribosomal RNA (380 nucleotides) under marine Metazoa environmental sample. RNAcentral's name for it is "SSU rRNA". It matches the Rfam family "Eukaryotic small subunit ribosomal RNA", at positions 587 to 972 of the family's 1831-position model. Lineage: Eukaryota; Metazoa. The record is from RNAcentral.